CACUUUGAGAUGGGGCUUGCGGUGUAUUAGCUAGUUGGUGGGGUAAUGGCUACCAAGGCAACGAUGCAUAUCCGAGCUGAGAGGCUGAUCGGACACACUGGGACUGAGACACGGCCCAGACUCCUACGGGAGACAGCAGUUAGGAAUAUUCGUCAAUGGGGGAAAACCCUGGAACGAGCAAUGCCGCGUGAGUGAUGAAGGCCCUAUGGGUUGUAAAACUCUGUUAUUUGGGAAGAAUGAACUAGUAUAGGAAAUGAUAUUAGUUUGACGGUACCUUAUCAGAAAGCCCCGGCCUAACUACGUGCC
This 306-nucleotide ribosomal RNA is filed under the name uncultured bacterium. RNAcentral describes it as "bacterial SSU rRNA". It matches the Rfam family "Bacterial small subunit ribosomal RNA", at positions 216 to 509 of the family's 1533-position model. The record is from RNAcentral.